Molecule: long non-coding RNA, 1368 nt
Filed under: Setaria viridis
Lineage: Eukaryota; Viridiplantae; Streptophyta; Magnoliopsida; Poales; Poaceae
Description: long non-coding RNA (SVIR_LNC005892)
Source: RNAcentral
GGUAAUAUAAAUGAAAAUUUAAGGGUUACUUUAAGUUAUAUUUUAAGUUUUAGUGGUGAGUAAUUUAGUUGCAAAUUUAGGGGGGGUUUAAAUUAUUUUUAUAAUGAAGCGGGUAAUUUCGAUGAAGAUUAGGUGGUUACUUUAUUUUAUUUAAUACAACAACAUAGGUGGGUAAUUUAGAUAUAGAUUUAUGGGUUACUUUAGGCUAUUUUCAUAAUGACAUAGGUGGGUAAUUUUUUAGAAUAGAUAAUAGAUCCAAUGGCUACGAUGAUUUGAGUCUACCAAUAAAUGACCAGAUGUUUUGCUUUUUGGUGAGAAUUUCUAGGAUUUCUCUCUUCUUAUAGAGUGUCCACCUAGGAUCCUUGGUGGCUUCACCUGGAGACUUUAAAAGGAGCCUCCAAUCCUCCAAUUAGUAAUAGUAAGAUAUAAAUGCGUGGGGACUAUACUUUUAUAACCGUUGAGUAUGAAUUCCCAUAUGUCACAUAUGUCGCUGCAAUUGUAGGUCUUUCAAUAUCCCUUGAUAACUAUUUUUCUCUAGGUCUAUCUACUCGGCUCACUUUUUCUUGUUUUUUCAGCUAGCGUUGGGAUGACAAUGGAGCGAGGGCCUGGUCCUACCAAAGAUCAUGCUCGUGUGCUAGUAGAUUUUGAUGAGACCACUUUAUGUCCUCAUCCUUCUCCCAAAUAAGAAUCAGUUGCCUUUAUCAAAAAAAGAAGAAAGAAAAAUCAUUUGCAUGUUUAAGGGAGCUCUCGUGUUCGUAGCCUUUCGCACGUCUGCCUGUUCUUCAAGUUUUAGAGCAAUCCUAUGAGAGAGGCAGAAACUUAGUUGCACUAUUUUUUUCACACCUUAUGAUUUCUGUUUUAGAGAAAUUUAAUGAUAGGGACAAAAAAUGGUAGUUAGGGGCGGAUCCAGCUCCAUAAAAUAGGGGGGCUCAGCUACCCUUUCUUCUUCCUCCCUUCUCUCUUUCCCUUCUUCUUCAUCAUUUUCUUUUUCUCCUCUUCAUCUAUGGCUAGGGGGCUUUGAGGGGGGUGUUGACGCUAGUUAUUGACAUACUUUUAGUGCCAUUUAACUAGUGUUUUCAUUCAUAUUCUUAUACUAACCCGUCACUUGGCACUUGAAAUAACUCCAUUUUCGCAUACGCAAGAUAUUUUUGAGGAUAUUCUGUUUUCGCAAGAAAUUGGCCUAAAUACACAUGAUGGUGAUGUCAAUCUAAUAUUGUAUUUACUUUGAUCUACUAUGAUGCAUACUUAUUCUCAUAUGUUCAGCUGGCAUAUGUUCUUAGUAGGAAUAGAUGGAAUCACCAUAGAUGUAAUCUUGGUGAUUAGUCUAUGUCUUGCGGAUACAUCUUAGUAGUGCGUAGGAAGUCGGUG